RNAcentral lists this ribosomal RNA (714 nucleotides) under uncultured bacterium. Its description in RNAcentral is "bacterial SSU rRNA". It matches the Rfam family "Bacterial small subunit ribosomal RNA", at positions 8 to 717 of the family's 1533-position model. The record is from RNAcentral.
AGAGUUUGAUCAUGGCUCAGAUUGAACGCUGGCGGUAGGCUUAACACAUGCAAGUCGUGCGAGAAAGUAUCUUCGGAUAUGAGUAGAGCGGCGGACGGGUGAGUAACGCGUAGGAAUCUACCUAGUAGAAGGGGAUAGCCCGGGGAAACCCGGAUUAAUACCGUAUACCUCCUUCGGGAGAAAGAAGGCCUCUCUUUGAAGCUUUCGCUACUAGAUGAGCCUGCGUAAGAUUAGCUUGUUGGUGAGGUAAAGGCUCACCAAGGCUACGAUCUUUAGCUGGUCUGAGAGGACGAUCAGCCACAUUGGGACUGAGACACGGCCCAGACUCCUACGGGAGGCAGCAGUGGGGAAUAUUGGACAAUGGGCGCAAGCCUGAUCCAGCCAUACCGCGUGUGUGAAGAAGGCCUUCGGGUUGUAAAGCACUUUAAGCAGGGAGAAAAAGUUAUAAGUUAAUACCUUAUAACCCUGAUGUUACCUGCAGAAUAAGCACCGGCUAAUUCCGUGCCAGCAGCCGCGGUAAUACGGAAGGUGCAAGCGUUAAUCGGAAUUACUGGGCGUAAAGCGCGCGUAGGUGGUUUGUUAAGUUGGAUGUGAAAGCCCUGGGCUCAACCUAGGAACUGCAUCCAAAACUAACUCACUAGAGUACGAUAGAGGGAGGUAGAAUUCAUAGUGUAGCGGUGGAAUGCGUAGAUAUUAUGAAGAAUACCAGUGGCG